UCAUGGUUCCCUGCAGAGGUCAUAUUCAUUGCUACUUUGGCUCCUGCGAAAUCUUUGUCUGGAUGAUUAUAUCUCAGUUUCAUCUAUGAAAAGCUACAAUCCUUUGAAGGCCUAGAUCAAAGUCUCACUGCUUGUAUAGGACCAGCAUUCUUUUCUACAUAAUAGGGCAUCUGGGAUGAGACCACCAACUUUCACCCUUAACUCUACCAGGAAUUGGCCAAGAUUCCUCACCUCAGCAAGACUGGUCAUCUAGAGCUCCCCACAAAAUGACUGAAUGCACCAGCUUCUUCUCAGCUCUAGCUCUGUCAAAAGCUUUGGUGAAAGGUAAAUACUGGACCUGAGGAAACAGCCAGCACAGAGGGAAAGGCUGAGGUCUGCUUGAAUGCAGGGAUGGGGAGUGGUUGUACUUGAUUCUAAUACAGGUUGGGAGCAGGAUGAA
This is a long non-coding RNA of Antechinus flavipes (yellow-footed antechinus), 439 nucleotides long. RefSeq lists it as uncharacterized. The record is from RefSeq and is a predicted model, not a curated record. NCBI's taxonomy places the organism in Eukaryota, Metazoa, Chordata, Mammalia, Dasyuromorphia, Dasyuridae. The transcript has 2 exons.